This 312-nucleotide long non-coding RNA is filed under the name Physcomitrium patens. RNAcentral describes it as "long non-coding RNA (PPAT_LNC000535)". Lineage: Eukaryota; Viridiplantae; Streptophyta; Bryopsida; Funariales; Funariaceae. The record is from RNAcentral.
AUUUAAGAUUUGAUUAAGUUUAGGGUUAGAUUAGAUUUUAGGAUUGGGUUAGGAUUUAGGAUUUGAUUAGGAUUAGGAUUGGAUUAGGAUUUAGGAUUUGGUUAAGAUUUAGUUAAGAUUAAAAUUGAGUUAGGAUUAUAUUAGAAUUUAGAAUUUUGUUAAGAUUUGAUUAAGAUCAUGGUUGGAUUGGGAUUUAGGAUUUGAUUAAGAUUUGGUUAGAAUUUAGGAUUGGACUAGGAUUUAGGAUUUGGUUUAGAAUUUUAUUUAGGAUUUAGGAUUUGAUUUAAGAUUUAGGAUUUGUCUAGAAUUUGG